UGCAGAAUCCCGUGAACCAUCGAGUCUUUGAACGCAAGUUGCGCCCGAAGCCACUAGGCCGAGGGCACGCCUGCCUGGGUGUCACGC
Molecule: ribosomal RNA, 87 nt
Filed under: Zizia aurea (golden alexanders)
Lineage: Eukaryota; Viridiplantae; Streptophyta; Magnoliopsida; Apiales; Apiaceae
Description: partial 5.8S ribosomal RNA
Rfam family: 5.8S ribosomal RNA
About the family: 5.8S ribosomal RNA (5.8S rRNA) is a component of the large subunit of the eukaryotic ribosome. It is transcribed by RNA polymerase I as part of the 45S precursor that also contains 18S and 28S rRNA. Functionally, it is thought that 5.8S rRNA may be involved in ribosome translocation.
Source: RNAcentral